RNAcentral lists this ribosomal RNA (255 nucleotides) under uncultured bacterium. RNAcentral's name for it is "partial 16S ribosomal RNA". It matches the Rfam family "Bacterial small subunit ribosomal RNA", at positions 29 to 310 of the family's 1533-position model. The record is from RNAcentral.
AAUGAACGCUGGGCGGCAUGCCUAACACAUGCAAGUCGAACGAAGCCUUCGGGCUUAGUGGCGCACGGGUGCGUAACGCGUGGGAAUCUACCCUUGGGUUCGGAAUAACAGUUAGAAAUGACUGCUAAUACCGGAUGAUGACGUAAGUCCAAAGAUUUAUCGCCCAGGGAUGAGCCCGCGUAGGAUUAGCUAGUUGGUGAGGUAAAAGCUCACCAAGGCGACGAUCCUUAGCNGGUCUGAGAGGAUGAUCAGCCA